GAUCCUGGCUCAGGAUGAACGCUAGCUACAGGCUUAACACAUGCAAGUCGAGGGGCAUCGGGAAGAAAGCUUGCUUUCUUUGCCGGCGACCGGCGCACGGGUGAGUAACACGUAUCCAACCUGCCCUUUACUCGGGGAUAGCCUUUCGAAAGAAAGAUUAAUACCCGAUGGCAUAAUGAUUCCGCAUGGUUUCAUUAUUAAAGGAAUUCCGGUAAAGGGAAUGGGGGAUGCGUUCCAUUAGGUUGUUGGUGAGGUAACGG
RNAcentral lists this ribosomal RNA (260 nucleotides) under uncultured bacterium. RNAcentral's name for it is "partial 16S ribosomal RNA". It matches the Rfam family "Bacterial small subunit ribosomal RNA", at positions 15 to 263 of the family's 1533-position model. The record is from RNAcentral.